GGCUGGUGAAUUACCAGAUCUCCGUCAAGUGCAGUAACCAGUUCAAGUUGGAAGUGUGUCUUUUGAAUGCAGAAAACAAAGUCGUGGACAACCAGGCUGGGACCCAGGGCCAGCUGAAGGUGCUGGGUGCCAACCUCUGGUGGCCGUACCUGAUGCACGAACACCCCGCCUACCUGUACUCGUGGGAGGAUGGUGAUUGCUCACACCAAAGCCUUGGACCCCUCCCAGCCUGUGACCUUUGUGACCAACUCCACCUACGCAGCAGACAAGGGGGCUCUGUAUGUGGAUGUGAUCCGUGUGAACAGCUACUACUCUUGGUAUCGCAACUACGGGCACCUGGAGUUGAUUCAGCUGCAGCUGGCCGCCCAGUUUGAGAAUUGGUGUAAGACAUCACAAUCCCAUUAUUCAGAGCGCGUAUGGAGUGGAAACGCUUGUAGGGCUUCACCAGGAUCCACCUCUGAUGUUCAGUGAAGAGGACCGGAAAAGUCUGCUAGAGCAGUACCAUCUGGGUCUGGAUCAAAAACGCAGAAAAUACGUGGUUGGAGAGCUCAUCUGGAAUUUUGCCGAUUUCAUGACUAACCAGU
Molecule: long non-coding RNA, 584 nt
Filed under: Homo sapiens (human)
Lineage: Eukaryota; Metazoa; Chordata; Mammalia; Primates; Hominidae
Description: non-protein coding lnc-NAIP-5:3
Source: RNAcentral